GUAAGGAAUAUUGGUCAAUGGGGGCAACCCUGAACCAGCCAUGCCGCGUGAAGGAUGAAGGCGUUAUGCGUUGUAAACUUCUUUUGUAUGGGAAGAAUGACAGGGAUUCAUCCUUGGAGAGACGGUACAAUACGAAUAAGCACAGGCUACCUCCGUGCCAGCAGCCGCGGUAAUACGGAGGGUGCAAGCGUUAUCCGGAAUCACGGGGUUUAAAGGGUACGUAGGCGGUUAAUUAAGUCAGUAGUGAAAGACUGUCGCUCAACGACGGAUGUGCUAUUGAUACUGGUUAACUUGAAUCAGGUUAGAGUUGGCGGAAUGGGUCAUGUAGCGGUGAAAUGCUUAGAUAUGACUUGGAACACCGAUAGCGAAGGCAGCUGACUGAGCCUUGAUUGACGCUGAGGUACGAAAGUGUGGGUAGCGAACAGGAUUAGAAACCCGGGUAGUCC
RNAcentral lists this ribosomal RNA (446 nucleotides) under uncultured bacterium. Its description in RNAcentral is "partial 16S ribosomal RNA". It matches the Rfam family "Bacterial small subunit ribosomal RNA", at positions 354 to 796 of the family's 1533-position model. The record is from RNAcentral.